RNAcentral lists this ribosomal RNA (253 nucleotides) under uncultured bacterium. RNAcentral's name for it is "partial 16S ribosomal RNA". It matches the Rfam family "Bacterial small subunit ribosomal RNA", at positions 524 to 776 of the family's 1533-position model. The record is from RNAcentral.
UACGUAGGGUGCAAGCGUUGUCCGGAAUUAUUGGGCGUAAAGAGCUCGUAGGCGGUUUGUCGCGUCUGCUGUAAAAACUCAGGGCUUAACCCUGAGCCUGCAGUGGGUACGGGCAGACUAGAGUGUGGUAGGGGAGAUCGGAAUUCCUGGUGUAGCGGUGGAAUGCGCAGAUAUCAGGAGGAACACCGGUGGCGAAGGCGGAUCUCUGGGCCAUAACUGACGCUGAGGAGCGAAAGCAUGGGGAGCGAACAGG